This 504-nucleotide long non-coding RNA is filed under the name Manihot esculenta (cassava). Its description in RNAcentral is "long non-coding RNA (MESC_LNC008936)". Lineage: Eukaryota; Viridiplantae; Streptophyta; Magnoliopsida; Malpighiales; Euphorbiaceae. The record is from RNAcentral.
AGCUUGCCACCUUCUCACAUGGCCACUUCAAGCAGAGUUACUCUAAUCUUUGUUGCUGCAUUGUUAUUCCAUUUUCUGCCAUUGGAGGCAAGAAAGCUGGCAGUGAUGGAGAAGGGUUUAAGAACCUUUCAUGGUGAAAGUGUAGACCUUUCGAAGACUACUGAUCGAGUGUUGCAGUCAGUUACAAGUCCUGGAAUUGGUGAUUAUCGUGUGUUGCAAUCAGUUCCAAGCCCUGGAAAUGGCCAUUAUGAAGUUUGGCGACCAGUUACAAGCCCUGUAGUUGAGAAGAGCCGUCAUUUGCAUUCUGUUCCAGGCCAUGAAAUUGGCAACUAGAGUAUCUUUCUUUUGGUGAAGUUCUUCUGUAAUUUGAAUAGCCAAGUAUAUGUUGUGAAAAAAUGUCCUAGCUAAAAUUUCUUACACGUACCUUGUGAUUUAAGUUGGGCUGUGUUAUUGUACUUCUAAUUUGUGUCUAGUAAUUUACAAGUUGAACAUUAAUUUUUCUAC